UCGGGCGUGGUGUACGGCACACGGCUGGCUUCUGUCGUAUUUCGUUUUAAAGAGUAGCUGGCUGUCCGGGGUUCGAUUCCCCGCGUUCGAA
Mycena polygramma is the source of this 91-nucleotide non-coding RNA. Lineage: Eukaryota; Fungi; Basidiomycota; Agaricomycetes; Agaricales; Mycenaceae. The record is from the annotation of a GenBank genome assembly.